This 485-nucleotide long non-coding RNA is filed under the name Phasianus colchicus (ring-necked pheasant). RNAcentral describes it as "lncRNA (ENSPCLG00000014077.1)". The record is from RNAcentral. Lineage: Eukaryota; Metazoa; Chordata; Aves; Galliformes; Phasianidae.
GUGUUGGCCAGUGUUUCCCAAUUGUUAUAUUUUAUUUGACAACAAAAUGAUAAGUGAAUUUGUUACAGGGCUUAACCAUAACAGGAUCUGGAGAUAUUUGAAGAUGUUAUUGCAGAAUUUUCACCAGAGUUGAGAACAAUACUGUGAAGAGGGCAAGAGCAUAGCACAAAGCCCAGCAAUGAAGUAGCUGGACAUCUCCUGGACAGCAGCACCCACAAGACCUUAUUCAGCUACUUUCAAGUUUAUAGUGAUUGUGAGGUAAAGAAGACAACAGGAGAGAUGAAAACCAGCAAUAUACUACUGCAGAUCUGCACAUUAAUUGCUGCAGGAGGGUACACAAAGGGAGCAAGGCCAGGUACUCUUGAUUCCUGAAGCAUACCUUCUCUACAAGGCGUCAGCCUGUUGCAGUUACUUCCCCAUCGAUCUGUCUGCCACAUCUCUGGAAAGGUCAAGUGGAACGAGGGCCCUUUCCAGCACUCUUUCAA